This 398-nucleotide long non-coding RNA is filed under the name Mustela putorius furo (domestic ferret). Its description in RNAcentral is "lncRNA (ENSMPUG00000023966.1)". Lineage: Eukaryota; Metazoa; Chordata; Mammalia; Carnivora; Mustelidae. The record is from RNAcentral.
CUUGGAGCUAGAAAAUGGUGAGACCAGGAUUCAGACACAGGUCUGUCUCUGUUUAUGACUGCCUUGAUGUUUAAUUGGUUUUUUCUCUUUUAGAUUAAUUUGUAAAAUGAUGUUUCAGGGGUCUUUGUGCGUACAGGGGGUAACGUCCGCUUUAUCUCACACUUCCCUGGGUCAUAAGGUGUGAGACCAUGUUUUCGGGGACCCGCGAGGGCGGGGAACAGAGAGAGAGACACCAGGAGUGCUGGUGUGCAGAGGAAAGACCACGUGAGGACACGGAGAGAGGGUGGCAGCUUCAACCUGAAGAGAGAAGCCUUGGGAGAAACUGAACCCACCAAUGCUGUGCUUCCUGACUUCCAGCCUCCAGAACUGUGAGAAAAUAAAUUUCUGUUGUUUCAGCU